This 509-nucleotide ribosomal RNA is filed under the name uncultured bacterium. RNAcentral's name for it is "bacterial SSU rRNA". It matches the Rfam family "Bacterial small subunit ribosomal RNA", at positions 501 to 1009 of the family's 1533-position model. The record is from RNAcentral.
CUACGUGCCAGCAGCCGCGGUAAUACGUAGGUGGCAAGCGUUGUCCGGAAUUAUUGGGCGUAAAGCGCGCGCAGGCGGAUUGGUCAGUCUGUCUUAAAAGUUCGGGGCUUAACCCCGUGAUGGGAUGGAAACUGCCAAUCUAGAGUGUCGGAGAGGAAAGUGGAAUUCCUAGUGUAGCGGUGAAAUGCGUAGAUAUUAGGAAGAACACCAGUGGCGAAGGCGACUUUCUGGACGAAAACUGACGCUGAGGCGCGAAAGCCAGGGGAGCGAACGGGAUUAGAUACCCCGGUAGUCCUGGCCGUAAACGAUGGGUACUAGGUGUAGGAGGUAUCGACCCCUUCUGUGCCGGAGUUAACGCAAUAAGUACCCCGCCUGGGGAGUACGACCGCAAGGUUGAAACUCAAAGGAAUUGACGGGGGCCCGCACAAGCGGUGGAGUAUGUGGUUUAAUUCGACGCAACGCGAAGAACCUUACCAGGUCUUGACAUUGAUGGACAGAACUAGAGAUAG